This 424-nucleotide ribosomal RNA is filed under the name Mesorhizobium sp. RNAcentral's name for it is "bacterial SSU rRNA". It matches the Rfam family "Bacterial small subunit ribosomal RNA", at positions 299 to 715 of the family's 1533-position model. The record is from RNAcentral. Lineage: Bacteria; Pseudomonadati; Pseudomonadota; Alphaproteobacteria; Hyphomicrobiales; Phyllobacteriaceae.
GACGACCAGCCACACUGGGACUGAGACACGGCCCAGACUCCUACGGGAGGCAGCAGUGGGGAAUUUUGGACAAUGGGGGCAACCCUGAUCCAGCAAUGCCGCGUGUGUGAAGAAGGCCUUCGGGUUGUAAAGCACUUUUGUCCGGAAAGAAAACUUCUGGGUUAAUACCCCGGGAGGAUGACGGUACCGGAAGAAUAAGCACCGGCUAACUACGUGCCAGCAGCCGCGGUAAUACGUAGGGUGCAAGCGUUAAUCGGAAUUACUGGGCGUAAAGCGUGCGCAGGCGGUUCGCUAAGACAGAUGUGAAAUCCCCGGGCUUAACCUGGGAACUGCAUUUGUGACUGGCGGGCUAGAGUAUGGCAGAGGGGGGUAGAAUUCCACGUGUAGCAGUGAAAUGCGUAGAGAUGUGGAGGAAUACCGAUGG